RNAcentral lists this ribosomal RNA (749 nucleotides) under uncultured Capnocytophaga sp. RNAcentral's name for it is "bacterial SSU rRNA". It matches the Rfam family "Bacterial small subunit ribosomal RNA", at positions 28 to 776 of the family's 1533-position model. Lineage: Bacteria; Pseudomonadati; Bacteroidota; Flavobacteriia; Flavobacteriales; Flavobacteriaceae. The record is from RNAcentral.
GAUGAACGCUAGCGGCAGGCCUAACACAUGCAAGUCGAGGGAGAGGUUACCUUCGGGUAACCAAAACCGGCGCACGGGUGCGUAACGCGUAUACAAUCUGCCUUUCACAUAGGGAUAGCCCGAAGAAAUUUGGAUUAAUACCUAAUGGUAUAUAAGAGCGGCAUCGUUUUUAUAUUAAAGCUACGGUGGUGAAAGAUGAGUAUGCGUUCUAUUAGCUAGUUGGAGAGGUAACGGCUCCCCAAGGCGACGAUAGAUAGGGGUUCUGAGAGGGAUGUCCCCCACACUGGUACUGAGAUACGGACCAGACUCCUACGGGAGGCGGCAGUGAGGAAUAUUGGACAAUGGUCGGAAGACUGAUCCAGCCAUGCCGCGUGCAGGAUGAAGGUCCUAUGGAUUGUAAACUGCUUUUGUAAGGGAAGAAUAAGGAGUACGUGUACUUUGAUGACGGUACCUUACGAAUAAGCAUCGGCUAACUCCGUGCCAGCAGCCGCGGUAAUACGGAGGAUGCGAGCGUUAUCCGGAAUCAUUGGGUUUAAAGGGUCCGUAGGCGGGCUGAUAAGUCAGAGGUGAAAGCGCUUAGCUCAACUAAGCAACUGCCUUUGAAACUGUCAGUCUUGAAUGAUUGUGAAGUAGUUGGAAUGUGUAGUGUAGCGGUGAAAUGCUUAGAUAUUACACAGAACACCGAUAGCGAAGGCAUAUUACUAACAAUUUAUUGACGCUGAUGGACGAAAGCGUGGGGAGCGAACAGG